AACGAACGCUGGCGGCAGGCCUAACACAUGCAAGUCGAGCGGACCUUUCGGGGUCAGCGGCGGACGGGUGAGUCACGCGUGGGACUAUGCCCUUCUCUACGGAAUAGUCCUGGGAAACGGGGGGUAAUACCGGAUACGCCACUCGGGGGCCAGAUUCAUCGGGCUAGGAUUAGCCCGCGUUGGAUUAGGUGGUCGGUGGGGUAAGGGCCGACCAAGCCGACGUUACCUAGCGGGUUUGAGAGGAUGGUCCGUCACUCUGGGACUGGGACACGGCCCAGACUCCUACGCGAUGCAGCAGUGGGUAAUCUUAGCCUAUCGCGUCAACCCUGAUCGAGCCAUGCCGCGUGAGUGAUGAUGUUCUUAGGGUUGUAAAGCUCUUUCAGCUGGGAAGAUAAUGACGGUACCAGCAGAAGAAGCCCCGGCUAACUCCGUG
Molecule: ribosomal RNA, 433 nt
Filed under: uncultured bacterium
Lineage: Bacteria
Description: partial 16S ribosomal RNA
Rfam family: Bacterial small subunit ribosomal RNA
Source: RNAcentral